GCCUCAUGUUAGAAAUGAAAAAAAAAAAAAAACUAAAACAAAAGAUUGUCUUAAUAUAAAAUUGUUUUCACGGAAAGUGUCUAGCAAGGCUCAAGUUCUCUUCACUCUCUGGUGUCGCCCCUGCAUGUUUUUCGUGAUCCAUGUUUCUAUUUUACUUUUAGUUUUCAAAGUUGAUGGUCUAUUGUUUGUACUUCUGUGUCCCGGGUUUGUCUUUUGUUCAUUUAUUGUCCUACUUUAUGACUAUAGUCUGAAGUGUUGAUUUUCAUUUGUAAACGUGUGGUUUUGCAAUGUUGCAUGCCCACCGAUGUCCAGAUAUUGUGCGAGAAAAUAUUUUAAGAAUAGACGAUGCUACAAGACACAGAAAACAAUUGUCGUUUCUGAAUGGAGAAUUGAACUUGAUAUCAAAGAACACAAAGCUUUUUUUUGUAGAUAAAACUAGAUAGCUGACAUGGUUUAUAUUAAAGUAAGGUCACCAAUUUCCCGAUAUCAAAUAACUUGAAGAAAAGAAAAAAACAAUAAUGUACUGUCAUAUGCCCUUUAGGAACAUUGAAGGAUUAAACUUGCAUGAAGUCAUGUUCAGACCCUUUAACAGAAAAUUAAGGAAUAUGGAGUAAAUGUGCACGAAACCUAAUCACACACAAAGUCAAUGCAUAGAAAAAAUACUAAUGAUCAAUGGUCAAAGUUGCUGGAGGGUUCUUCAACAAUAAAAGAAUCAUUAAUACCAAGAUGGUCCGUAGUGUCGAAUUAAGCAGUACUAGUACUUAAAGUAAAAUACUGCCGCGUGACUCACUAUAUUUAAAUCUAGUCAUAAAAAAAAUCACCAAGGUAUAAGCACAAUACAAGACCAGAACAGACAGACAGAUCCGGUAUUAAUAAUUAUGAGAAGUACGAUUUUUGCUUUAACCUACAUAUCGGUCUUUUAAUGUUGUCCAUAAAACGUAAAAGUCUUAAAUUAUAAUGAAUCUAUGUUUUUGCUUUGAGACCAGAAUUUUGUGGAGAAAAAAUAGCUAAAAAUUUAUUGCGUUUCAAUGUCAGAGUCCGGGAAACGCUCAGAAUGCACGAUUUUGCGUUAUUUUUCCAGAGCUUCUGGGGGCCUUGAGCGGCCCCAGACUCCUCGCCAAAUUUUUUUCGCCUCGCUCCGCUCGGCAUAUCUUUU
RNAcentral lists this long non-coding RNA (1156 nucleotides) under Mytilus galloprovincialis (Mediterranean mussel). The record is from RNAcentral. Lineage: Eukaryota; Metazoa; Mollusca; Bivalvia; Mytilida; Mytilidae.